RNAcentral lists this ribosomal RNA (392 nucleotides) under uncultured bacterium. Its description in RNAcentral is "bacterial SSU rRNA". It matches the Rfam family "Bacterial small subunit ribosomal RNA", at positions 30 to 424 of the family's 1533-position model. The record is from RNAcentral.
AUUGAACGCUGGCGGCAUGCCUUACACAUGCAAGUCGAACGGUAACGGGCCUUCGGGUGCCGACGAGUGGCGAACGGGUGAGUAAUGCAUCGGAACGUACCUUUCAGUGGGGGAUAACGUAGCGAAAGUUACGCUAAUACCGCAUAUUCUGUGAGCAGGAAAGCAGGGGAUCGCAAGACCUUGCGCUGAUUGAGCGGCCGAUGUCAGAUUAACUAGUUGGUGAGGUAAAGGCUCACCAAGGCGACGAUCUGUAGCGGGUCUGAGAGGAUGAUCCGCCACACUGGAACUGAGACACGGUCCAGACUCCUACGGGAGGCAGCAGUGGGGAAUUUUGGACAAUGGGGGCAACCCUGAUCCAGCCAUGCCGCGUGAGUGAAGAAGGCCUUCGGGUU